This 2122-nucleotide ribosomal RNA is filed under the name Triticum aestivum (bread wheat). RNAcentral describes it as "partial small subunit ribosomal RNA". Lineage: Eukaryota; Viridiplantae; Streptophyta; Magnoliopsida; Poales; Poaceae. The record is from RNAcentral.
GCACGUGCGUCAAAGCGGCCUCUGGCCCGGUUUUCCGGGGGGGAGGCGAGCCAGCUCUGUUCAGUCCCUCCGCUUUGACUUCGCGCCUCCGCGGCGCGUCGGCGUCGGCGAGCGCGGGCACUGAGGUGCAUGCGGGGCGUCCGGUGCGCGAGGCAGGCCGCGGUCGCGCUCGCAAAGUCGAGGCCGGAGCCGAGGCGGCGCUCGGUGCGGUGCGCAGGGGGGACAGUGCUGUACACAGGACGGCCCUCCCGCCGCAGAGCAGCGCACAGGCGCGAAGGGUUUGAUCGGGAGGGGGAGAGAGCGUGGAGCUUUCGUUUUCCCGUCCCGCCUCCCGGGGCCUCUGCUCGUUUAAUAAAAACAACGCUGCCUCGCAGAGGAAGGAGGAGAGGCACGCUCCGUCGCCGCUCGUCUCGUCUGGCCUUGUCGUGUAGUGGCCGAGAUGCAGUUACCGCAGGUGGAGGGAGGUUCCGACGCGUUAGGAGCAUUCGGCGCGGUCAGAGGAGGAUACGAAAGCAAAGAGAGAGCGAAGCGACCGGAAUUAACACGAACCAAGGACUGACAGGGAGGGGCGCCGCCGUCCGAGAAGAGACUGCUCGCGCCCUAGCUCGAAGGAGACUGGGUUCGUUGCUGAGGCAGGCCCUCGAAGGAGACAGGUCACUGGUCAAGCACCGAAGCGGCCGCUACCUCCGGAUGAGCUCCCUGGACGACGCGCCGCAGCCGCCCCCUCCGCUCUGGCCAGCGCCGCUCCUCUUCGGCGCCGCGGACCUAAGCGUCCGGCUCCUCCAGCUCGAAUCGGAGCCGGACAGCGAGCCCCCCGCUAAGCCCGUCCUCUCCUCCUCCCCGCUCCCCGAGCGGUCCAGGAGCAGGCAGCGGACGUAGGUCGUCCACCGCGGCCGCGGCGGGCGCGAGGGGUCCUGUUCGAGGGACGGCGGAUACCGCCUCCGCCUCCGCCCCUUGUUGCGGCGAAGCGGAUCCUCGCCGCGACUCCAGGUUGGCGUCCCCUCACCACAGCGAGACUUGCCGCAGCACCAUCUCGGGCGUCGAAACGGUGCCCGCUCCAACUCGGGGGGCAGGUGUCCGAGCAGCCCGCCGCAUCCCUUCGACGCCCGCUCGCACUCGGGGGGCAGGUGUCCGAGCAGCCUGCCGCUUCCUUAGGAGCACUCCUGUUCAAGUGAGGGACGACCGUAGCUCCUGCCCACCUCCUUCUCCUUCGAUCGUCUUUGAGACUUGUUUGAGCUUUACUUCUCCUCAUAGCUGUCCUACUUGAGAAGGUUGCAAAGACAUCCCCUUCAACCUCUCUUGGGUCUACUUUACUCACUCGUCCGUCCUCCUUUCCGUUGUCAUGUUUCUUACUUGGCAUGGUUACACUCCGCAGCGAACUCACCCGAAGGAGGUGGUAUAGUCGGAGGUCGACGUAGUGUUCCAGGCUUUUCCUUAAGUCGAAACUUUCCUUGAGGACCGUGAGAUCCCGCCUCGGACAGUAGCCGACAAGACGGGAGCAGACACCCACGUUUGUCGUCGCGGCACCGUUGGAGAAGUAGAAGUCGUAACCGCCACUCUCGUCGUCGGGGACCGUAGAGGUAUCCCCUCGUCUUCCUACCAAGCCUUACCGGCCGCCGUUCUCGAUGAUCCUGAUCCUCGCACCGUCUGUACCACGCCUUCUACGGUCACCACAUGUGGUCGCCCGAGGCGUUGCCGCUCUCCUAGCUGCCGAAGGACAUGGUCAUGUCGUCUCGACUCCUCCACUCCUAACACACACACACGGUACCAUCGAAGGACUGAGGCCGCCUCAAACACCGCGUACGACCUCCGCCGCUUCAGCGGGUGGGCUACUCCGUGUAGCAGCACUUGGGGGGCAGCAGAAGCGAGAUCUGGCCGCGCGCGUACGUACGUCCACCACGUUCACGAGGCGCACACCGAAGUCGUCGGGAUUCGAAUCGAACCUUGAUCUUUAGAGUAGCACUCUGACGUAAAAUACAAAAUGUCUGACGUGUAGUGUCAUGAAUGAAUAAUAGGAUUUGACUUCUGUACCACCCUCUAAACGAGGAUGUCUGUUGAUUUAUCGUUUGUAUACUGUCUAACUUGUAGUGAGCAACAAGACCACUAGUAGUGAACAAAGGAC